CCUACGGGAGGCAGCAGUGGGGAAUAUUGCACAAUGGGCGCAAGCCUGAUGCAGCCAUGCCGCGUGUGUGAAGAAGGCCUUAGGGUUGUAAAGCACUUUCAGCGAGGAGGAAGGCGUUGCAGUUAAUAGCUGCAGCGAUUGACGUUACUCGCAGAAGAAGCACCGGCUAACUCCGUGCCAGCAGCCGCGGUAAU
This 194-nucleotide ribosomal RNA is filed under the name uncultured Budvicia sp. RNAcentral describes it as "partial 16S ribosomal RNA". It matches the Rfam family "Bacterial small subunit ribosomal RNA", at positions 338 to 524 of the family's 1533-position model. The record is from RNAcentral. Lineage: Bacteria; Pseudomonadati; Pseudomonadota; Gammaproteobacteria; Enterobacterales; Budviciaceae.